ACUCAAAUGAAUUGACGGGGGCCCGCACAAGCGGUGGAGCAUGUGGUUUAAUUCGACGCAACGCGAAGAACCUUACCUAGGCUUGACAUACACGGGAAACCCUCGAGAAACCGAGGGCCCUCUUCGGAGUCCGUGUACAGGUGCUGCAUGGCUGUCGUCAGCUCGUGUCGUGAGAUGUUGGGUUAAGUCCCGCAACGAGCGCAACCCCCGUUUCUAGUUGCCAGCGAGUAAAGUCGGGGACUCUAGAAAGACUGCCGGUGCCAAACCGGAGGAAGGUGGGGAUGACGUCAAGUCAUCAUGGUCCUUACGUCUAGGGCUACACACGUGCUACAAUGAUCGGUACAGAGGGUCGCAAGCUCGCGAGAGCAAGCCAAUCCCAGAAAGCCGAUCUCAGUGCGGAUUGGAGGCUGCAACUCGCCUCCAUGAAGCUGGAAUCGCUAGUAAUCGUGGAUCAGCUACGCCACGGUGAAUACGUUCCCGGGCCUUGUACACACCGCCCGU
Molecule: ribosomal RNA, 501 nt
Filed under: uncultured bacterium
Lineage: Bacteria
Description: partial 16S ribosomal RNA
Rfam family: Bacterial small subunit ribosomal RNA
Source: RNAcentral